UACGUAGGGGGCGAGCGUUGUCCGGAGUUACUGGGCGUAAAGCGCGCGCAGGCGGUCUGCUAAGUUUGGAGUGACAGUUGGUGGCUUAACUGCCAAAGUGCUUCGAAAACUGACAGACUUGAGGGCUUCAGAGGGACACGGAAUUCCGGGUGGAGUGGUGAAAUGCGUAGAGAUCCGGAGGAACACCAAAGGCGAAGGCAGUGUCCUGGGGAGUACCUGACGCUCAGGUGCGAAAGCCAGGGGAGCGAACGGG
Molecule: ribosomal RNA, 253 nt
Filed under: uncultured bacterium
Lineage: Bacteria
Description: partial 16S ribosomal RNA
Rfam family: Bacterial small subunit ribosomal RNA
Source: RNAcentral